Molecule: transfer RNA, 68 nt
Filed under: Stenella longirostris (spinner dolphin)
Lineage: Eukaryota; Metazoa; Chordata; Mammalia; Artiodactyla; Delphinidae
Description: tRNA-Asp
Source: RNAcentral
GAGAUAUUAGUAAAGUCUUACGUAACUUUGUCAAAGUUAAAUCACAAGUGAAAAUCUUGUAUAUCUCU